Alligator sinensis (Chinese alligator) is the source of this 131-nucleotide non-coding RNA. NCBI's taxonomy places the organism in Eukaryota, Metazoa, Chordata, Crocodylia, Alligatoridae. The record is from Rfam.
AGCUUUGCACAGUGGCAGUAUCUUAGCAAAUGAGGCCCGGCCAAGGAAUGAUUAUUGCUAGUUGAAAACUUUUUUUUUUUUUUUCCAACAAGCUCAGGUCACUGGUAAUUUCAACAAGCUCAGGUCACUAG